AACGCGAAGAACCUUACCUGGGCUCGAAGCACAGUGGACCGGGGUAGAAAUAUCCCUUUUCGCAAGAACUGCUGUGGAGGUGCUGCAUGGCUGUCGUCAGCUCGUGUCGUGAGAUGUUGGGUUAAGUCCCGCAACGAGCGCAACCCUUAUCGUUAGUUGCCAGCGGGUCAAGCCGGGCACUCUAGCGAAACCGCCUCGGAUAACGGGGAGGAAGGUGGGGAUGACGUCAAGUCCC
RNAcentral lists this ribosomal RNA (235 nucleotides) under uncultured bacterium. RNAcentral's name for it is "partial 16S ribosomal RNA". It matches the Rfam family "Bacterial small subunit ribosomal RNA", at positions 958 to 1193 of the family's 1533-position model. The record is from RNAcentral.